Molecule: long non-coding RNA, 841 nt
Filed under: Fukomys damarensis (Damara mole-rat)
Lineage: Eukaryota; Metazoa; Chordata; Mammalia; Rodentia; Bathyergidae
Description: lncRNA (ENSFDAG00000032597.1)
Source: RNAcentral
UACUGGUGAUUAAAUUGUGAUUCCUUUUAAACUCACACACGGAUGACUAGCUUCUCUUACCUUGUUUUUCCUUUACCCUUUUAUCUCGGCAGUUAGGAGGUGGCAGACUGGAGGUGUUACUCCGGUCGUCAUGGAAAUAGUCUCCCAGAAGCUGGCGCUGAAGGGGUGGGCGGGGGUGGGGGGCAACAGUGUGAAACGGCCGAUCUGAGGGGAGCAAGCUCUGGUUAAGAGGCCAAAGAGCAGCUGGAAAAGGACACAGGCCUGGGAAUGCCCGGAUGCAGGCCUGGGAAUGCCCGGAUGCAUCCCAGGGAAUGCCCGGAUGCUCCCGCAACCUCUCACCGAUCUCUCCUUUGUCCUUUCCCAUCUCUUAACAAGUAAGCGUUGGGAUCGAAAACUACAUCUCUGUCCAAACCCAGUAAAGAGCUGGCUACCGUAGCAGAGAGAAGAUGUUCCUACAACAACUAAGCUAAUUCAGAUGGGGAAGGCUAAAUUCCAGAGACCCCAAGGAUAGCCGGAAGGUUAGCACCACCUGAAAAGGAGAUGUCAAGGCUUCUGCUUGGUUUGCAACGAGCUCUGUGGCCCGCUCAGCUCCCGUGUGAGCUGCUCAGCGGUGGACCCGGGGUCUCCAAAGCCAGAGACGUGUAGAGCAGUGCCGCUCCUGGAUCCUCGACUUCUCCCCACCAUGGAGGCCUCUCCGGUUCCAGCUGCAGCCUCACUGAAAAGCUUCUCUUUCGAACCCUACGUGAAUUCAGAACUCAGGAAGGAAAAGGGCUACUUGUCUCCCAACACCCAUCAACCUCAUCAUCAUCAUCAUCAUCAUCAUCAUCAUCAUCAUCACUGA